UACGUAGGGGGCAAGCGUUAUCCGGAUUUACUGGGUGUAAAGGGAGCGCAGGCGGUAUGGCAAGUCAGAUGUGAAAACCCAGGGCUCAACCCUGGGACUGCAUUUGAAACUGCCAUACUGGAGUGCCGGAGAGGUAAGUGGAAUUCCUAGUGUAGCGGUGAAAUGCGUAGAUAUCACGAAGAACUCCGAUUGCGAAGGCAGCUCACUGGACUGCAACUGACACUGAGGCUCGAAAGUGUGGGUAUCAAACAGG
Molecule: ribosomal RNA, 253 nt
Filed under: uncultured Eubacteriales bacterium
Lineage: Bacteria; Bacillati; Bacillota; Clostridia; Eubacteriales
Description: uncultured Clostridiales bacterium partial 16S ribosomal RNA
Rfam family: Bacterial small subunit ribosomal RNA
Source: RNAcentral